ACAGUCAUAAAUUUAAAAUAUCAAAUUCCCUAACGUAGGCAACUUUCCACACACCACAAACGUCAUAGUCUGGUGAUUUUAAAGGUUAGUUGGUAUUAAUACAGAUUAUCCCCAGAAGAAAUACGAAAUUUAUGGUUAGAAAAGUUAAAAUAAUUGCCGUGAGUAAGCACAAUAAGAAAGGAAUUACGCGAAGUGAAGUCAUGCUCGCAACGCAAACGACCGGACCAGUGAGCAGCAAGGGUACGAGGUAAUUCUACACGUCGAAAUAUAUUACGUUCGUGGAACCAGCAGGGAUGUAGUCGUGUACAGCGGCGGCCAUAAAUGUUUUCCUGCCGUUAUUAUUCCGCCGUCAAAGUUUAUUACUGUAUUUUCACUGGGAUAAACAAGUAAUUGGAUGGAAAUUAACAAAAAAAGAAGAAAACAUCGAAUUAUAACCUCAAAUAAAUAUUAGGAUGUCAAAAGUCAUCGUGGCUGUCAUUUUUUAAGUCAGAUAAAGUAGAAAUCUGUAAAAAGUUAUGUUUUAUCUCUACGUUUUUUGCUCCUAAAAGUAUCUAUAAUAGUAAAAAUCGGAAAAUUCAAUUUCCCAAGCGAAGUUUAUGACCCACUGUAAUGAUAGUAAUCUGUUGGAGAAAAGAUUUUAUAAAGUCAUGUCAUUUUUCAUUGGUGGCAGCCAUUCUAACCUCACAAAACCGACGCAGACGACAAACACAGCACCAAAGUGGGUGAGUAAAGUGGAUGAUCCAAUAAUAUUUCGUUAUUCUUCCACAUCCCGCACGAAAAUAUUUGUUUUCCGAAAAUGUUUAACAUUGAAAUAUUUGCGUUCCGUGAAAUUGUGUUUGAAGGGAAAACUCUUCGCCCACACACGCACCGUAUUUGUUUAUUCAGUGAAUAAUUAAUUACACGUGGGUCGUCGUUUCGACGUGAAAAACAUGCAUAAAAACGAUUUUUCCAUUAGCGCGUUAAUAUUUCAUCAUCAUUAGGCAGCUUCUUUCACGGCGCGGUGGAAAUCUGCGUGCAUUUUUUAAAUGCCAUGAAAAGGGUUGACCGCCAAGGUUGCGGUGUGGGUUUUGGAAAGAGUGACGCUGUUGAAAUAUGGCGCUCGGUCAUUUGGAAACAAGCUUUUCGUUUUCAUCACGUCGGGUUUUUCGCUUUUCUCUAGCGUUUAGUGUUACAUGGUUUCCUCAUCACGGCGUUACGUGAUCAUGUAUGAGGGGAGAAAAUUGUGAAAAGGGCUCUUUUUGAGGAGUAUAAGGCAAGCAUUUCUCAAGAUUCAUACUUAACCUUAUUAUAGUUAUUAACAGCUGCGAUAGAGUUUUAGUAAAAUGUUAAAAUGUCAAGAAAAAUGUAGAAAAAGAUGAAAA
Molecule: long non-coding RNA, 1361 nt
Organism: Dalotia coriaria
Lineage: Eukaryota; Metazoa; Arthropoda; Insecta; Coleoptera; Staphylinidae
Exons: 3
Source: RefSeq, a predicted model, not a curated record